GCUUGUAGUCAAACAGAAGGCAGAGCUGCGAAUCAAAUCCAGGUUUGUCUCGACAUGCCACUAGCUCAUACUUUCCUUGGAUCAGCCACUAAAUGGCUUUCACUCCAGUGAGCAGCGACCAGCACCAGAAUUAUGGAACAUUUAUCAACAGCCUAAAAUAAAGACAACACGAGGAGAAUUUGGUUGCUUAUAUAGAUUCAAGGUACAAUCCUGCUGGAUUCUGGGAUUACAGGACUGUAGACAAAAGAGAAAUCAUCAUGGACUGUUCACUGGACAAAAUUUCAUGGAGAAGACCUUUGGCGGUUCAUGGAUGUUCUAUAAUAAGUUAGCAGGGAAAAUCAAUACCCAGAGAAGGGGAGAGACGUCCAUGGCACACAGGAGAGGACAGAGCCAAGAAUGAAUAUAGGACACCAGUGCCCCAACUCUUAACCACUACCAUACACGGUUUUAUAAAGUAAAUUUUAAAAGUCGACUUUAAAACA
RNAcentral lists this long non-coding RNA (482 nucleotides) under Pan troglodytes (chimpanzee). RNAcentral describes it as "lincRNA". Lineage: Eukaryota; Metazoa; Chordata; Mammalia; Primates; Hominidae. The record is from RNAcentral.